AAUCAACGCUGGCGGCGUGCCUCAGACAUGCAAGUCGAACGAUUAAAGCUCUCUUCGGAGAGUGUAUAGAGUGGCGCACGGGUGAGUAACACGUAAGUAAUCUACCCUCGAGUGGGGAAUAACAACCGGAAACGGUUGCUAAUACCGCAUAAUGCAGCGGCACCGCAAGGUGACAGUUGUUAAAGAUUUAUCGCUUGAGGAGGAGCUUGCGGCAGAUUAGCUAGUUGGUAGGGUAACGGCUUACCAAGGCUACGAUCUGUAACCGGUCUAAGAGGACGGUCGGUCACACUGACACUGAAUAACGGGUCAGACUCCUACGGGAGGCAGCAGUCGGGAAUUUUGGGCAAUGGGCGAAAGCCUGACCCAGCAACGCCGCGUGAAGGAUGAAGGCCUUAGGGUUGUAAAGCUCUUUUACCAGGGAUGAUAAUGACAGUACCUGGAGAAUAAGCUCCGGCUAACUCCGUG
This 465-nucleotide ribosomal RNA is filed under the name uncultured bacterium. RNAcentral's name for it is "bacterial SSU rRNA". It matches the Rfam family "Bacterial small subunit ribosomal RNA", at positions 32 to 507 of the family's 1533-position model. The record is from RNAcentral.